AAACUUUCAACAACGGAUCUCUUGGUUCUGGCAUCGAUGAAGAACGCAGCGAAAUGCGAUAAGUAAUGUGAAUUGCAGAAUUCAGUGAAUCAUCGAAUCUUUGAACGCACAUUGCGCCCCUCGGUAUUCCGGGGGGCAUGCCUGUUCGAGCGUCAUUUCAACCCUCACGCCCCGCGUGGUCUUGGGCCCUGCCGGCGACGGCAGGCCCUAAAGCGAGUGGCGGCGCCUGACGGCCCUGAACGUAGUACCAUCUUCUCGUUACAGGCGCCCGAGGGACGCUGGCCAGCAACCCCCCCCCACUUCUCCAUG
This 309-nucleotide ribosomal RNA is filed under the name Neomelanconium gelatosporum. RNAcentral describes it as "5.8S ribosomal RNA". The stretch from base 2 to 155 matches the Rfam family "5.8S ribosomal RNA". Lineage: Eukaryota; Fungi; Ascomycota; Leotiomycetes; Helotiales; Cenangiaceae. The record is from RNAcentral.